Molecule: ribosomal RNA, 301 nt
Filed under: uncultured bacterium
Lineage: Bacteria
Description: partial 16S ribosomal RNA
Rfam family: Bacterial small subunit ribosomal RNA
Source: RNAcentral
CAGUAGCCGCGGGAAUACAGAGGGUGCGAGCGUUAAUCGGAUUUACUGGGCGUAAAGCGUGCGUAGGCGGCUUCUUAAGUCGGAUGUGAAAUCCCUGAGCUUAACUUAGGAAUUGCAUUCGAUACUGGGAAGCUAGAGUAUGGGAGAGGAUGGUAGAAUUCCAGGUGUAGCGGUGAAAUGCGUAGAGAUCUGGAGGAAUACCGAUGGCGAAGGCAGCCAUCUGGCCUAAUACUGACGCUGAGGUACGAAAGCAUGGGGAGCAAACAGGAUUAGAUACCCCCGUACUCCCUGUCUCUUAUAC